This 229-nucleotide ribosomal RNA is filed under the name uncultured bacterium. RNAcentral describes it as "partial 16S ribosomal RNA". It matches the Rfam family "Bacterial small subunit ribosomal RNA", at positions 568 to 796 of the family's 1533-position model. The record is from RNAcentral.
CGUGUAGGCGGUAAUACAAGUCAGAUGUGAAAUACUGUGGCUCAACCACAGAACGGCAUCUGAAACUGUAUUUCUUGAGUACUGGAGAGGAAAGCGGAAUUCCUAGUGUAGCGGUGAAAUGCGUAGAUAUUAGGAGGAACACCGGUGGCGAAGGCGGCUUUCUGGACAGUAACUGACGCUGAGACGCGAAAGCGUGGGGAGCAAACAGGAUUAGAUACCCUGGUAGUCC